UGAGAAGCUUCGACUAAGGUUCGAUUCGAGCGCAGCGAGAAAGCGUUGCCGCAGGCAACGACCCGAAGGGCGAAGCGCGCAGCGCUGAGUCAUCCUUCCCCCACCACCA
RNAcentral lists this small RNA (109 nucleotides) under Salmonella enterica. RNAcentral describes it as "partial RtT sRNA". It matches the Rfam family "RtT RNA", at positions 23 to 130 of the family's 130-position model. Rfam says of the family: This family represents a bacterial cis-regulatory element known as RtT RNA. The exact function of RtT is unknown although it is thought that it may be involved in changing the cellular response in relation to amino acid starvation. RNAcentral also lists the same sequence under 7 other names. The record is from RNAcentral. Lineage: Bacteria; Pseudomonadati; Pseudomonadota; Gammaproteobacteria; Enterobacterales; Enterobacteriaceae.